GACGAACGCUGGCGGCGUGCUUAACACAUGCAAGUCGAGCGAGAAACCCUCUUCGGAGGGGAGUACAGCGGCGAACGGGUGAGUAACACGUGGGCAACCUGCCCCAAGGAGCGGGACAACCCGGGGAAACCCGGGCUAAUACCGCAUGAUCCGUGAUGCCUCAAGGCAUCUCGGGAAAUGGUAGCUUCGGCCUCCGCCUUGGGAUGGGCCCGCGGCGCAUUAGCUUGUUGGUGAGGUAACGGCUCACCAAGGCGACGAUGCGUAGCUGGUCUGAGAGGACGAUCAGCCACACUGGGACUGAGACACGGCCCAGACUCCUACGGGAGGCAGCAGUGGGGAAUCUUGCGCAAUGGGCGGAAGCCUGACGCAGCAACGCCGCGUGAGGGAAGAAGGCCUUCGGGUUGUAAACCUCUUUCAGGGGGGACGAAGCCACCGGGGUUAAUAGCCCACGGGGUGACGGUACCCCCAGAAGAAGCCCCGGCUAACUACGUGCCAGCCGCCGCAGUAAGAC
This 511-nucleotide ribosomal RNA is filed under the name uncultured bacterium. RNAcentral's name for it is "bacterial SSU rRNA". It matches the Rfam family "Bacterial small subunit ribosomal RNA", at positions 28 to 526 of the family's 1533-position model. The record is from RNAcentral.